RNAcentral lists this unclassified non-coding RNA (430 nucleotides) under soil metagenome. Its description in RNAcentral is "partial contains 5.8S ribosomal RNA, internal transcribed spacer 2, and large subunit ribosomal RNA". The stretch from base 1 to 120 matches the Rfam family "5.8S ribosomal RNA", at positions 35 to 154 of the family's 154-position model. The record is from RNAcentral.
GAUGAAGAACGUAGCGAAAUGCGAUACGUAAUGUGAAUUGCAGAAUUCAGUGAAUCAUCGAAUCUUUGAACGCAUAUUGCGCUCUCUGGUAUUCCGGAGAGCAUGCUUGUUUGAGUAUCAGUAAACACCUCAACUCCCUUUUCUUUUUUGAAAUUGGAGCUGGACUUGAGUGAUCCCAACGCUUUCUUCCAAGAAAGUGGCGGGUUGCUUGAAAUGCAGGUGCAGCUGAACUUUUCUCUGAGCUAUAAGCAUAUCUAUUUAGUCUGCCUAAAAAACAGAUUAUUACCUUUGCUGCAGCUAACAUAAAGGAGACUAGUUCUUGUGCUGACUGAUGCAGGAUUCACAGAGACAGCUUCGGCUGACUUUGUAAACUCGAUCUCAAAUCAAGUAAGACUACCCGCUGAACUUAAGCAUACCAAUAAGCGGAGGA